This 833-nucleotide ribosomal RNA is filed under the name uncultured archaeon. RNAcentral describes it as "bacterial SSU rRNA". It matches the Rfam family "Archaeal small subunit ribosomal RNA", at positions 19 to 859 of the family's 1478-position model. The record is from RNAcentral.
GGCGGCCACCGCUAUUGGAAUGCGAUUUAGACAUGCGAGUCGAGAGUCUUCGGGACUCGGCAGACGGCUCAGUAACACGCGGAUAAUCUGCCCUCGGAUGGGGGAUAACCCCGGGAAACUGGGAACAAUACCCCAUAGGUCUGAGAUGCUGGAAUGCUCCCAGGCCGAAAGCUCCGGCGUCCGAGGAUGAGUCUGCGGCCUAUCAGUUAGUAGUGGGUGUAAUAGACCCACUAGGCUUCGACGGGUACGGGCAUUGAGAGAUGUUGCCCGGAGAUGGACUCUGAGACACGAGUCCAGGCCCCACGGGGCGCAGCAGUCGCGAAAACUUCACAAUGUCGGAAACGGCGAUGAGGGUAUUCCAAGUGCUUGCGUACUACGUAAGCUGUUCAAUUUCCUAAAAAGCAGUUGAAGUAAGGGCUGGGUAAGACGGGUGCCAGCCGCCGCGGUAAUACCCGCAGCCCGAGUGGUGGUCGAUAUUAUUGAGCCUAAAGCGUUCGCAGCCGGUCUGGUAAAUCCUUGGGUAAAUCGGGCAGCUUAACUGUCCGAAUUCCGGGGUCACUGCCAGACUUGGGACCGGGAGAGGCUAGAGGUACUCCUUGGGUAGGGGUAAAAUCCUGUAAUCCUUGGAGGACCACCAGUGGCGAANGCGUCUAGCUAGAACGGAUCCGACGGUCAGGAACGAAGCCCUGGGUCGCNNNUGGAUUAGAUACCCAGGUAGUCCAGGGUGUAAACGCUGCGAGCUUGGUGUCGGAGAUCCUACGANGGUGUCCGGUGCCGGAGAGAAGUUGUUAAGCUCGCCGCUUGGGGAGUACGGUCGCAAGACUGAAACUUAA